GGAACAUUGGCUCAAUUGGUGAGAGCACGCGGCUCAUAACCGCGCGGUUCAAGGUUCAAGUCCUUGAUGUUCCACCA
RNAcentral lists this transfer RNA (77 nucleotides) under Prevotella sp. RNAcentral's name for it is "tRNA-Ile". It matches the Rfam family "tRNA". Rfam says of the family: Transfer RNA (tRNA) molecules are approximately 80 nucleotides in length. Their secondary structure includes four short double-helical elements and three loops (D, anti-codon, and T loops). Lineage: Bacteria; Pseudomonadati; Bacteroidota; Bacteroidia; Bacteroidales; Prevotellaceae. The record is from RNAcentral.